This 601-nucleotide ribosomal RNA is filed under the name uncultured Bacteroidota bacterium. RNAcentral describes it as "bacterial SSU rRNA". It matches the Rfam family "Bacterial small subunit ribosomal RNA", at positions 1 to 573 of the family's 1533-position model. The record is from RNAcentral. Lineage: Bacteria; Pseudomonadati; Bacteroidota.
GGAUCCAGACUUUGAUCAUGGCUCAGGACGAACGCUGGCGGCGUGCUUAACACAUGCAAGUCGAACGAGAAGAGAUGAGAAGCUUGCUUCUUAUCGAUUCGAGUGGCAAACGGGUGAGUAACGCGUAAGCAACCUGCCCUCUAGAUGGGGACAACAGCUGGAAACGGCUGCUAAUACCGAAUACAUUCUUUCUGUCGCAUGGCAGAGGGAAGAAAGGGAGGCUCUUCGGAGCUUUCGCUGGAGGAGGGGCUUGCGUCUGAUUAGCUAGUUGGAGGGGUAACGGCCCACCAAGGCGACGAUCAGUAGCCGGUCUGAGAGGAUGAACGGCCACAUUGGGACUGAGACACGGCCCAGACUCCUACGGGAGGCAGCAGUGGGGAAUCUUCCGCAAUGGACGAAAGUCUGACGGAGCAACGCCGCGUGAACGAUGACGGCCUUCGGGUUGUAAAGUUCUGUUAUACGGGACGAAUGGUACGACGGCCAAUACCCGUCGUAAGUGACGGUACCGUAAGAGAAAGCCACGGCUAACUACGUGCCAGCAGCCGCGGUAAUACGUAGGUGGCAAGCGUUGUCCGGAAUUAUUGGGCGUAAAGGGCGCGCA